GCUUCACACAGGGGUCCUUUUCAAUUUUUGAAAAUGUGGUUUUACUACUAAAUGAGUUAUAUCAGUGCAAUAAUGCACGUUGCCAAAAUGCACCACUACCACCUCCUUCAUGCAUUCAAUUUUAAAACUGCUUUUGUGUAUUCUUAACUACCAAAAACCUUAACUUUAAGAAGUAUGUGAUUAGUGCUAAUGCUAAUCAGCUAAACAAGUAGGAAAAAGAGGUAUUAUUGACUUCUCAAUUACUAAUAAACUUGCUUAUAUGUUCUGAUAAAUGGAGCCCUCACAGGUUGAAUGGACAAGAGAGUAAUUCAAAUAGAGUAAAACACUCCCUCCUUAAUUUAGAGGAUGAGAACUGAGCUGAAACUCUUAUAACAGAUAAGACAGAGCUUAGCUCUUCAGCAAAUGCUAAUUGUCAAUGCUUUCCAUAUUAGAUACAAAAAGAAAUUAUAAUGUUGUUCACACAUCUUACAGCUUCAGAGUGUUUGCAGCUCUCUUUGUUGGAACAUGUUUGUAAGGUUUCUGUUCUGCAAAGAUGCUUGUAGUUAGAACAAAAUGAACCAGCCCUUUCAGUCCAGUCUGGGCUGACAGAGUUUGAAAGAACUUGGGACUCAUUUGCGGUCUGAAGAAAUACCUAAAUAGUCAGAUUUUCAGAAGACUGCUAGUACAGCAAGGAAAGUACGACUUCUGUAUAGACAGUGAGAAAAAACUGGACACAUAAGUAUUUCAAAGCCUGAAUUGACUUCUCUUUCCCAUAUCAGUUUUGGAGAUUUCCCUCCUUACCCACGAAAACUGUUGUCUUAAUAAAUAAAAUUGAGAAAAAGGAAUACUUUAAAACUCUGAAGGUAAGUAUUCAGACUUAUGUCUUCAGAACUUAGCAUUUGCAUGGCUUCUCAAGUAGCAGAAAGUAAGACAGCAGUCACCCCAGAAUCUGUUCUUUUCUGCAUGUUGUGAGUUCCUUUCUUUGGGUUACACUGACCUUUAAGAUCACAUGUGAAAGGGUUCUAUAAAUCCUAUUUGUGGGUGGCUGCUAGUAUAAGAUCAAAAAGAAAAUCAAUGUCCAAUAUAGAUUUUACUUCUGUCUGAUUUCUUUGUCCAAAGAAGUGAUAAUUAAAGUGAUGUGUGCUUUAGGUUUCUACACUAAUCUGAAUGCUGAAAUUAGGAGAACCAAUCUCUUUAGUUUUGAAUGCAACCUGGUACGUUACUGUUUCUAUGCUGUUUAUUAA
This is a long non-coding RNA of Catharus ustulatus (Swainson's thrush), 1223 nucleotides long. RefSeq lists it as uncharacterized. Lineage: Eukaryota; Metazoa; Chordata; Aves; Passeriformes; Turdidae. The record is from RefSeq and is a predicted model, not a curated record. The transcript has 3 exons.